UACGUAGGGUGCGAGCGUUGUCCGGAAUUACUGGGCGUAAAGAGCUCGUAGGUGGUUUGUCGCGUUGUCCGUGAAAACUCACAGCUUAACUGUGGGCGUGCGGGCGAUACGGGCAGACUGGAGUACUGCAGGGGAGACUGGAAUUCCUGGUGUAGCGGUGGAAUACGCAGAUAUCAGGAGGAACACCGGUGGCGAAGGCGGGUCUCUGGGCAGUAACUGACGCUGAGGAGCGAAAGCGUGGGGAGCGAACAGG
This 253-nucleotide ribosomal RNA is filed under the name uncultured bacterium. Its description in RNAcentral is "partial 16S ribosomal RNA". It matches the Rfam family "Bacterial small subunit ribosomal RNA", at positions 524 to 776 of the family's 1533-position model. The record is from RNAcentral.